AAGUUCCGUAGUUGAACCUGCGGAGGGAUCAUUACAGAGUUGCAAAACUCCCUAAACCAUUGUGAACGUUACCUAUACCGUUGCUUCGGCGGGCGGCCCCGGGGUUUACCCCCCGGGCGCCCCUGGGCCCCACCGCGGGCGCCCGCCGGAGGUCACCAAACUCUUGAUAAUUUAUGGCCUCUCUGAGUCUUCUGUACUGAAUAAGUCAAAACUUUCAACAACGGAUCUCUUGGUUCUGGCAUCGAUGAAGAACGCAGCGAAAUGCGAUAAGUAAUGUGAAUUGCAGAAUUCAGUGAAUCAUCGAAUCUUUGAACGCACAUUGCGCCCGCCAGCAUUCUGGCGGGCAUGCCUGUUCGAGCGUCAUUUCAACCAUCAAGCCCCCGGGCUUGUGUUGGGGACCUGCGGCUGCCGCAGGCCCUGAAAAGCAGUGGCGGGCUCGCUGUCGCACCGAGCGUAGUAGCAUACAUCUCGCUCUGGUCGCGCCGCGGGUUCCGGCCGUUAAACCACCUUUUAACCCAAGGUUGACCUCGGAUCAGUAGAAACCCAAU
Molecule: ribosomal RNA, 548 nt
Filed under: Chaetomium globosum
Lineage: Eukaryota; Fungi; Ascomycota; Sordariomycetes; Sordariales; Chaetomiaceae
Description: eukaryotic LSU rRNA
Rfam family: 5.8S ribosomal RNA (bases 210-363)
Source: RNAcentral